This 1425-nucleotide ribosomal RNA is filed under the name uncultured bacterium. RNAcentral describes it as "bacterial SSU rRNA". It matches the Rfam family "Bacterial small subunit ribosomal RNA". The record is from RNAcentral.
AGAGUUUGAUCCUGGCUCAGAACGAACGCUGGCGGCAGGCCUAACACAUGCAAGUCGAGCGCUACCUUCGGGUGGAGCGGCGGACGGGUUAGUAACGCGUGGGAAUAUACCCAGUUCUAAGGAAUAGCCACUGGAAACGGUGAGUAAUACCUUAUACGCCCUUCGGGGGAAAGAUUUAUCGGAAUUGGAUUAGCCCGCGUUAGAUUAGAUAGUUGGUGGGGUAAUGGCCUACCAAGUCUACGAUCUAUAGCUGGUUUGAGAGGAUGAUCAGCAACACUGGGACUGAGACACGGCCCAGACUCCUACGGGAGGCAGCAGUGGGGAAUCUUAGACAAUGGGCGAAAGCCUGAUCUAGCCAUGCCGCGUGAGUGAUGAAGGCCCUAGGGUCGUAAAGCUCUUUCAACUGUGAAGAUAAUGACGGUAGCAGUAGAAGAAACCCCGGCUAACUCCGUGCCAGCAGCCGCGGUAAUACGGAGGGGGUUAGCGUUGUUCGGAAUUACUGGGCGUAAAGCGUACGUAGGCGGAUUAAUAAGUUAGAGGUGAAAUCCCAGGGCUCAACCCUGGAACUGCCUUUAAAACUGUUAGUCUUGAGAUCGAGAGAGGUGAGUGGAAUUCCAAGUGUAGAGGUGAAAUUCGUAGAUAUUUGGAGGAACACCAGUGGCGAAGGCGGCUCACUGGCUCGAUACUGACGCUGAGGUACGAAAGUGUGGGGAGCAAACAGGAUUAGAUACCCUGGUAGUCCACACCGUAAACGAUGAAUGCCAGACGUCAGCAAGCAUGCUUGUUGGUGUCACACCUAACGGAUUAAGCAUUCCGCCUGGGGAGUACGGUCGCAAGAUUAAAACUCAAAGGAAUUGACGGGGGCCCGCACAAGCGGUGGAGCAUGUGGUUUAAUUCGACGCAACGCGCAGAACCUUACCAACCCUUGACAUACUUGUCGCGGAUUCCAGAGAUGGAUUCCUUCAGUUCGGCUGGACAAUGUACAGGUGCUGCAUGGCGGUCGUCAGCUCGUGUCGUGAGAUGUUCGGUUAAGUCCGGCAACGAGCGCAACCCACGUCCUUAGUUACCAGCAUUUAGUUGGGUACCCUAAGGAGACUGCCGGUGAUAAGCCGGAGGAAGGUGUGGACGACGUCAAGUCAUCAUGGCCCUUACGGGUUGGGCUACACACGUGCUACAAUGGCAUCUACAGUGAGUUAAUCUCCAAAAGAUGUCUCAGUUCGGAUUGGGGUCUGCAACUCGACCCCAUGAAGUUGGAAUCGCUAGUAAUCGCGGAACAGCAUGCCGCGGUGAAUACGUUCCCGGGCCUUGUACACACCGCCCGUCACACCAUGGGAAUUGGGUCUACCCGAAGGUGGUGCGCCAACUAUUUAUAGAGGCAGCCAACCACGGUAGGUUCAGUGACUGGGGUGAAGUCGUAACAAGGUA